This 876-nucleotide ribosomal RNA is filed under the name Panus fulvus. Its description in RNAcentral is "partial large subunit ribosomal RNA". It matches the Rfam family "Eukaryotic large subunit ribosomal RNA", at positions 73 to 937 of the family's 3401-position model. Lineage: Eukaryota; Fungi; Basidiomycota; Agaricomycetes; Polyporales; Panaceae. The record is from RNAcentral.
AUCCCCUAGUAACUGCGAGUGAAGCGGGAAAAGCUCAAAUUUAAAAUCUGGCAGUCUUUGGCUGUCCGAAUUGUAUUCUGGAGAAGCGUCUUCCGCGCUGGACCGUGUACAAGUCUCUUGGAAUAGAGCGUCAUAGAGGGUGAGAAUCCCGUCUUUGACACGGACUACCAGUGCUUUGUGAUGCGCUCUCAAAGAGUCGAGUUGUUUGGGAAUGCAGCUCAAAAUGGGUGGUGAAUUCCAUCUAAAGCUAAAUAUUGGCGAGAGACCGAUAGCGAACAAGUACCGUGAGGGAAAGAUGAAAAGCACUUUGGAAAGAGAGUUAAACAGUACGUGAAAUUGCUGAAAGGGAAACGCUUGAAGUCAGUCGCGUCAUCCAGAACUCAGCCUGGCUUCUGCCUGGUGUACUUUCUGGUUGACGGGCCAGCAUCAGUUUUGACCGCUGGAAAAAGGCCAUGGGAAUGUGGCACCUUCGGGUGUGUUAUAGCCUGUGGUCAUAUACAGCGGUUGGGACUGAGGACCGCAGCACGCCUUUAUGGUUGGGGUUCGCCCACAUUCGUGCUUAGGAUGCUGGCGUAAUGGCUUUAAACGACCCGUCUUGAAACACGGACCAAGGAGUCUAACAUGCCUGCGAGUGUUUGGAUGGAAAACCCGAGCGCACAAUGAAAGUGAAAGUUGGGAUCCCUGUCGUGGGGAGCACCGACGCCCGGACCAGACCUUUUGUGACGGAUCCGCGGUAGAGCAUGUAUGUUGGGACCCGAAAGAUGGUGAACUAUGCCUGAAUAGGGUGAAGCCAGAGGAAACUCUGGUGGAGGCUCGUAGCGAUUCUGACGUGCAAAUCGAUCGUCAAAUUUGGGUAUAGGGGCGAAAGACUAAUCG